UACAGAGGGUGCGAGCGUUAAUCGGAAUUACUGGGCGUAAAGCGUGCGUAGACGGCUAUCUAAGUCGGGUGUGAAAGCCCCGGGCUUAACCUGGGAACUGCAGUCGAGACUGUCUAGCUAGAGUAUGGGAGAGGGAAGUGGAAUUUCAGGUGUAGCGGUGAAAUGCGUAGAUAUCUGAAGGAACAUCAGUGGCGAAAGCGACUUCCUGGACCAAUACUGACGCUCAUGUGCGAAAGCGUGGGGAGCAAACAGG
Molecule: ribosomal RNA, 253 nt
Filed under: uncultured bacterium
Lineage: Bacteria
Description: partial 16S ribosomal RNA
Rfam family: Bacterial small subunit ribosomal RNA
Source: RNAcentral